RNAcentral lists this ribosomal RNA (848 nucleotides) under uncultured Actinomycetes bacterium. RNAcentral's name for it is "bacterial SSU rRNA". It matches the Rfam family "Bacterial small subunit ribosomal RNA", at positions 54 to 918 of the family's 1533-position model. The record is from RNAcentral. Lineage: Bacteria; Bacillati; Actinomycetota; Actinomycetes.
CAUGCAAGUCGAGCGGUAAGGCCCUUCGGGGUACACGAGCGGCGAACGGGUGAGUAACACGUGGGUGAUCCGCCCUGCACUUCGGGAUAAGCCUGGGAAACUGGGUCUAAUACCGGAUAUGACCAAAGGCUGCAUGGCUUUUGGUGGAAAGGUUUACUGGUGCAGGAUGGGCCCGCGGCCUAUCAGCUUGUUGGUGGGGUAAUGGCCUACCAAGGCGACGACGGGUAGCCGACCUGAGAGGGUGACCGGCCACACUGGGACUGAGACACGGCCCAGACUCCUACGGGAGGCAGCAGUGGGGAAUAUUGCACAAUGGGCGAAAGCCUGAUGCAGCGACGCCGCGUGAGGGAUGAAGGCCUUCGGGUUGUAAACCUCUUUCACCAGGGACGAACCGAGAGUGACGGUACCUGCAGAAGAAACACCGGCUAACUACGUGCCAUCAGCCGCGGUAAUACGUAGGGUGCGAGCGUUGUCCGGAAUUACUGGGCGUAAAGAGUUCGUAGGCGGUUUGUCGCGUCGUCUGUGAAAACCCAUCGCUCAACGAUGGGCCGGCAGGCGAUACGGGCAGACUUGAGUACUGCAGGGGAGACUGGAAUUCCUGGUGUAGCGGUGAAAUGCGCAGAUGUCAUGAGGAACACCGGUGGCGAACGCCGCUCUCUGGGCAGUAACUGACGCUCAGUAGCGAAAGCGUGCGUAGCACACAAGAUUAUAUACCCUGGUAGUCCACGCCGUACACGGUGGUCGCUACGUGUAGGUUCCUUCCACGGGAUCUGUGCCGUAACUAACGCAUUAUGCGCCCCGCCUUGGGAGUACGGCACGCAGGCUAACACUCAGAUGAUCUGACGGUG